GUGGAAAGCCAGUAAGUGGAGCUGAAUUCAGCGGGACAGUAAUUAUUUCUCGCUGCUGGUAUUUGACACCUGCCAGGGAAUGUCUGUAAAAACCCUACAGCUAGCAGAACAGAACAACACAACAUAGAGAGAUAGAGUCUCGGUGCUUAGGGAUUGAUUGAUAACUGUACUUACUCUACUUGGCCUUUUACCCCCAGGCACUGAAAAGAACAAUGAGACACUUCUUCACAGUGUUUUGUCAUCUCACAAAUCCCAGCGGUUCAAUUCAAUCACACCUAUUGUUCUCUGACGGGUCCUGCUGAGGAUGUAAUAUUCCCAGCCAACAUGGCACUUUUGCCUCAUAAAGAUGUGUAAGGCAACAUUUCUCAAAACCACAAUUUGGAUAAGGUUCUACAUACAGGGAUGAGGCAGCAC
This is a long non-coding RNA of Cyprinus carpio carpio, 414 nucleotides long. The record is from Ensembl. Lineage: Eukaryota; Metazoa; Chordata; Actinopteri; Cypriniformes; Cyprinidae.